Molecule: long non-coding RNA, 103 nt
Organism: Phyllostomus discolor (pale spear-nosed bat)
Lineage: Eukaryota; Metazoa; Chordata; Mammalia; Chiroptera; Phyllostomidae
Exons: 3
Source: RefSeq, a predicted model, not a curated record
GCAGGAUGACAGACAAAUGAGAAAGUCAGAAUUGGCACAGCAUAGACUGUCUGCAAAACAUAUAAAAAUAUACUCAAUAUCCUAAUGUGACAAACUUGGCUGU